RNAcentral lists this ribosomal RNA (253 nucleotides) under uncultured bacterium. RNAcentral's name for it is "partial 16S ribosomal RNA". It matches the Rfam family "Bacterial small subunit ribosomal RNA", at positions 524 to 776 of the family's 1533-position model. The record is from RNAcentral.
UACGUAGGGCGCAAGCGUUGUCCGGAAUUAUUGGGCGUAAAGAGCUCGUAGGCGGCCUGUUGCGUCCGCUGUGAAAUCCCGGGGCUUAACCCCGGGUCUGCAGUGGAUACGGGCAGGCUAGAGGCAGGCAGGGGAGAACGGAAUUCCCGGUGUAGCGGUGAAAUGCGCAGAUAUCGGGAGGAACACCGGUGGCGAAGGCGGUUCUCUGGGCCUGUUCUGACGCUGAGGUGCGAAAGCGUGGGGAGCAAACAGG